RNAcentral lists this ribosomal RNA (537 nucleotides) under uncultured bacterium. Its description in RNAcentral is "bacterial SSU rRNA". It matches the Rfam family "Bacterial small subunit ribosomal RNA", at positions 28 to 500 of the family's 1533-position model. The record is from RNAcentral.
GACGAACGCUGGCGGCGUGGAUUAGGCAUGCAAGUCGAACGGUAUGGACCUUUCGGGGUUCAGAGAGUGGCGAACGGGUGAGUAACACGUAGGUAAUCUACCCUCAAGACGGGGACAACCCAGGGAAACUUGGGCUAAUACCGGAUGUGUGUAGUGGCUAUUUUUCUGAUUAUCAUUAUUUACGUAAGUGAGUAAUAAUAAGAAGGGAAAGUGGUUAUUACAUAAAAGGUGGCGUAAGCUGCCGCUUGGGGAUGAGCCUGCGUCCUAUUAGUUAGUUGGUGAGGUAACGGCUUACCAAGGCGAUGAUAGGUAGGCGGCCUUAACGGGUGGUCGCCCACACUGGGAUUGAGAUACGGCCCAGACUCCUACGGGAGGCAGCAGUCGAGAAUAGUCUACAAUGGACGGAAGUCUGAUAGUGCGACGCCGCGUGAACGAAGAAUCCCUUCGGGGUGUAAAGUUCUUUUAUACGUGAGCAGUGUCCUUUAUAUUAAUAGUAUUAAGGGGAGAGAUAUUAGCGUAUGAAUAAGCAACGGCUAA